UGAACGCUGGGCCGCAGGCUUAGACAUGCAAAUAGAGCGGGGGGCAGGGAGAAGCUUGCUUCUUUGCUGACGAGCGGCGGACGGGUGAGUAAUGCCUGGGAAUCUGCCUGGUAGUGGGGGAUAACUUGCCGAAAGGUAAGCUAAUACCGCGUACGCCCCAUGGGGGAAAGCAGGGGAUCUUCGGACCUUGCGCUAUCAGAUGAGCCCAGGCCGGAUUAGCUAGUUGGUGGGGUAAAGGCCUACCAAGGCGACGAUCCGUAGCUGGUCUGAGAGGAUGAUCAGCCACACCGGGACUGAGACACGGCCCGGACUCCUACGGGAGGCAGCAGUGGGGAAUAUUGGACAAUGGGGGGAACCCUGAUCCAGCCAUGCCGCGUGUGUGAAGAAGGUCUUCGGAUUGUAAAGCACUUUAAGUUGGGAGGAAGGGUUUCUGGUUAAUACCCGGGAAUUUUGACGUUACCAACAGAAUAAGCACCGGCUAACUUCGUGCCAGCAGCCGCGGUAAUACGAAGGGUGCGAGCGUUAAUCGGAAUUACUGGGCGUAAAGCGCGCGUAGGUGGUUUGUUAAGUUGGAAGUGAAAGCCCCGGGCUCAACCUGGGAAUGGCUUUCAAAACUGGCGAGCUAGAGUACGGUAGAGGGCAGUGGAAUUUCCUGUGUAGCGGUGAAAUGCGUAAUAUAGGAAGGAACAUCAGUGGCAAAGGCGACUGUCUGGACUGAUACUGACCCUG
Molecule: ribosomal RNA, 729 nt
Filed under: Pseudomonas sp. HPC1354
Lineage: Bacteria; Pseudomonadati; Pseudomonadota; Gammaproteobacteria; Pseudomonadales; Pseudomonadaceae
Description: bacterial SSU rRNA
Rfam family: Bacterial small subunit ribosomal RNA
Source: RNAcentral